ACCCUCCAGUGGGAACCAGGAAUUUCUGGUCAAAGACUGUUCCGCGCUUUCAGGGUCAGUUCUCGCUGCAUCCCUGUUCACCUUCUUCUCUAUCGGUCUCCAGGCACUUAGGGCAGCCUCACUCGCUAGCCCGCUGGGCGCCGCCACGGGCCUGGGGCCCCAGGGCGGGGACAGGGAGAAUACAGCCGAUUGUUGAAGAGAGCUUUAUUCCUGCGGCAACCCGCCACCAUCCCGGCUACUGCUGCUGGCCCAUGACAGCGCUGAGGGCUUCUGACAGGCUACCACUGCGACCUCGCGGACCAUGUCUCCCCUAUCCUUUGGGCGAAACGCUGGACAAGCCCCGCCGAUCGCUCUCCACUAGCCAGAUCUGGCCAACUUUAGUGCCUGGGCCCCCGUAAAGAAGAUCAGAGCAAGAACCUCUGCAUUUGUUGGUAGCUGCCAAAGAGUAAGAACCUCUGUGGGGUACUGCAUUGCUGCUGCUGCCACAAACCCAAGGAGAAAGACCCAGAAAGACCAAGGUUUGUUGAUGGAUUUUAUUGGGGACCUAAAAGUCUAGGAAUUAUGUGGGUAAUAUUUUAAAACUAGCACUACUAUUUAGCUUAUGAUAAGUACCCUGUGUCAAUUAUGAAUAUACCGAGCUUGACUGGUCCCUGGUCAUACUCUUUAGCCACUAAAAACCAAGUACGCACACCCUGUCCCAUGAACAUAUCCUCUAUGUCUUCUCAGCUCUAACCAGGGUCAAACACAAACGCCCUGGGUCCCAGGUAUCUUUCUCCUUCCCAUCCCCUCAGCUGAAAUGAAGGGUGCCUGCUCUACCCAAAGACCCAUGGGAGGGGAAAAAGUAAACCAUUCCUCUGCCCACCUUUCCCUCCCAAGGAAAACACUCCUAGGAUAGAGCAUACCCAGCCUUCCUGACAGGAAAGAAUAAUUAAUAUUUAGUCUUAAAUCUCCCCUUACCUAAUCCCCCUACCCACCCUACUUUUAGCUAAAGUGAGUCCAAAUACAACACUUUCAUGUCUGUCAAAACUGGAAGGGAACCAGACUGUCCUCUUCACUUUACAGGUGGUAAACUGAGACCCAGAAAGAAAAGAUUUUCUCAGUAACACUGUUAGUGGCAGAAUAGGAUAUAAAACCUGCAUUACCAUUUCCCUCUCAGCACCACCCCUCCCACCCACUCUCACACACAACUCUGAGGCUUCUUCAGGACUGGACCUAUUCAUUUACAAUGAAAUGCUAGCCAUCUAUUGUAUUUCCCUUCCCAGGUGGAUUACCCCUGAAAAGAGGACCUCAGGACAGAUUUACCCUUAACCAAAUGAAUGUCCUACCAGAUACCUUCUAAAGUAUCUGGUAUCUGGUAUCAAUAAUAGACUGGGAGAGAUUGGAGUGGAACAGGCUAUGAAGGGACCCAAGGAGAAGGAAUGUAGACAAUGUCUUCAUUUUGACUUAGAUUUAUAAAGCCCACUCAGCUCAUGCAUGACCCUUCUCCAUCACAGGCAGUUAACUCUGCACCCCGUACCCCACUCCCUUGCUAAACUGUCCUCCUGAAGCCAGCCCUAAGACAGGUAUCUCAGACAGGAGUGAAAAGAUAAAAGGCCAAGGUAAACACUCAUACUGUUUUAUUCCUUACCUACCACUCAGUGGCCCUAGACCAACCUUGGUUAUCUGAAGUUUUGUUAUGGAAAGUGGAGUUUUCAAGAAGCCCCCAUAUUAUUACUUACCUUGGGCUCUGGACUGCAUUUUUUAUCCCUGAAAACCAAUUCCUUUGCCUCUGGUAUUAUGAUACCAUGGGCUGCCCACAUAGACUUCUUCACCAGAUAAGGCUUAGUAGCUAGACAAAGAAAUGAGCAAUGAAGCUUUGAAAUUUCUGGGUUUUUUUUUUAAGGGAAGAGAGGUGGUAUGUGUGGAGGGGAUCUAUUUAUAGAUAUUGGUUUUUCAAAGACUCCUCUAGGCCCAGAAUUCUGGUCCAUUUUACACAUCAUCUUGGCAAUCAUCUACCCUGGGAACAGGAAUAAGGGGGUGAAUACUUACUUUUCUUACUAUAGUGUGACUUCUAUGUAAAUUAUGUAAGUGAGUGGUGUUGUGUGUGUUCAUGAUUAUAUUUGUGAGUAUGGUCGGUUGCACAGGUCAGUUUUACAAGUUUGUGUGUUCAUAUUUCAGCUAAAAUUAAUGCAGUUAAUAUUGCUGGUUAACUUUGGCAUGAAUGAAAACAAACUUCCAAGCACUAAAAUUAUAUGGAACAAAAUCCAUAUAUUCUAAUUUCCCUAAAUACUACAGAAGAGGCCUGUGUGCACAUCAGUCUUGGCCAUCCCCUGUCCAGCUUCUUCCCUGGAUGGGGGUCAACUCCUUGGCUUCAGGGAAGCACUUCUCAAAGUGAUCAGGGUGAAUGGUAGGUAAGUAGACUGCUUAGUAAAAUCAUUUUGAGCCCAGAAAGCCCUAUCUCCACCAAGUUUAGAGCAGGAAGUACUGGCAUCAGCCCAUUUGCGCUUGGACCUCUGCCCAAGCGCAAUGGAGUGGUGUUAUUCCUUUCUGCUUGCUUCCUUAUGGUGGUGAGGGCCCUUCUUCAGGACUAUCCCUCCAGAACUUCUAUUCCCUCCACCUUCUUCCAACCCUACCCACUCACCUGCUCACAGAUUUUUUUCUUUUUUUUUGGAGGCGUUGCAGCAUCAUGUGAGAUCUUAGUUCCCCGACCAGGGAUCAAACCCACGCCCCCUGCAUUGGACGUGCGGAGUCUUAACCACUGGACCACCAGGGAAGUCCCUCAUAGAUUUUUUUAAGUCACUUCACUGGAUCUACAAAAGGGCCAAUAGUAAACCCUCCAUGGGAGUGAAGUUGUCACUGCCUCUUUUCAAUUUCAGGGUUGCCAAGUAAGGUACUGUGAUCUCAAAAAUUAUCCUCCUGGAUACUGUUGCUAUCUUAAUCUUAUGAGUCCUAGACACUUCAGUGGAAAUGACCUUGCUAUGGGAGAAAAGAGCAUGGCUAUGCCCUUAGGCAGAUUGCUUCUCCUCUCCCUUACUUUAUUCAUCUGCAAAAUGGGGCUGAUCAGUCCCACCUUGAUCGUCUUACAAGGUCUUACAAGGAUCCAACAAGACAAAGCAUGGUCUUUGUGAACCAAAAAACACAGGCCAAAUAAUGUGGAUACCAAAAAAUACCAACCAACCAACCAACCAAACACCAGGCCAAAUAUCCAUCAAAUAUUUAUUCUCAAGUCUAAGAAAUAAAAAUAAAUUAAUACAAAUGAGAGGCAGGGUUACGGACAAGGGCAUAAUUCAAAUAUAAAUUUAGCCCAAGUACCAUUUCGGUUGCCACUAAGAAUAGCAAGAGGAGAGAUGGAACAGAGGGAUGGAAGUAUGGAUAGCAGUAGAAGAUGUCUAACUUUCUCCCCUUAGUUUGAUCACCACCUGAAAUUCAGCCACCUGACCUGUUCUGCAUAUUUUGAAUUUUCAUUUUUGGUUUUCUUUUCUUUUCAGGUGAUUUCUGCAUGGGAGAUAUGGGGACUAAGACAGUAGGGUAAGAGGAGAAGCACUGUCUCCUCCUUAGGGAUAGAUCUGAGAGCCAGCCAAUGAGACUGAAAGGAUCCAUGAGAUGCAAGUCCAAUCCUCUCUGAGAUGCUGCUCACAAGCCAAGUGACCAGGGCCCAGAGUCCACAGCUGGGUCCUGGGCCCCUUCAAACUACCUCACAGGGUUGUUGUGAGGAUGUCAUGAGAUCAUGACAGUAAAGAGCUCAAUAAAUGUCUCUUGAACAGAUCCAUACAUGUGAUGGUGCUUUGCAAACUAUAAAGCUCCAUACCAAAUGGUAGAGAGAGUCAGGACACUGUUUUGCAGUCACAUAAAGGAAGUGAUUUUUGCCACUCAUUCUCACCCCUCACUUAAGACUGGGGCAUGGGAAGGAAACGGAGAGGAGAAGAGAAGUUUGAAAUAGGAAAUAAAGGAAUAAGAGAACAACAAAUAAAAGAAGAAUCUAAGGUAGAUGAUUCUCCAGUGACCAACUUGUAUUUGAGAGUGGCAAUGAAGAUACAGACAGGAGGGACUUAGAGCUCUUUCUAGGGACAGAAGAACAGAGGUCAAAUGGAUCUUAGAUAUUUACUUCAAGACUCCAGCUCCUGUUUGAAACACCUCCAAUGAUGGGUAACUGUUUUCUCCCUGAGGCAGCUUGUUCUAAUUAUAACCAGUUCUAAUGGUUAGAAAGUAUUUCCUUGUAUUAAGCUGUUUCCUGCAGCUUUAAAUUCUAUCCCUUGGUGCCAUAUAGAAAAAAACUAAUGCCUUGACAUCA
Molecule: long non-coding RNA, 4270 nt
Organism: Aethalodelphis obliquidens (Pacific white-sided dolphin)
Lineage: Eukaryota; Metazoa; Chordata; Mammalia; Artiodactyla; Delphinidae
Exons: 3
Source: RefSeq, a predicted model, not a curated record